AAUCAACGCUGGCGGCGUGCCUAACACAUGCAAGUCGAACGCGAGAGGGGCUUCGGCCCCGAUUGAGUGGCGAACGGGUGAGUAACACGUGGGUGACCUACCUUCGAGUGGGGGAUAACGUCCCGAAAGGGACGCUAAUACCGCAUAACACUCCGCUUUUGAACAAGUGGAAAUCAAAGCCGGGGAUCGUAAGACCUGGCGG
Molecule: ribosomal RNA, 202 nt
Filed under: uncultured bacterium
Lineage: Bacteria
Description: partial 16S ribosomal RNA
Rfam family: Bacterial small subunit ribosomal RNA
Source: RNAcentral